RNAcentral lists this ribosomal RNA (118 nucleotides) under Oryza punctata. Lineage: Eukaryota; Viridiplantae; Streptophyta; Magnoliopsida; Poales; Poaceae. The record is from RNAcentral.
AUGCGCGAUCAUACCAGCACUAAAGCACCGGAUCGCAUCAGAACUCCGAAGUUAAGCGUGCUUUGCGAGAGUAGUACUAGGAUGGGUGAUGUCCUGGGAAGUCCUCGUGUUGCAUCCC